This is a non-coding RNA of Paenibacillus polymyxa SC2, 86 nucleotides long. Lineage: Bacteria; Bacillati; Bacillota; Bacilli; Caryophanales; Paenibacillaceae. The record is from Rfam.
GUUGAGGCGGCUACGACGGCGGAGUAGCGAUGGGCUGUAACCCCAUUACGUAAGAUACGCAGAGAGUUCGAAUCUCUCCCUCUUCA